Molecule: long non-coding RNA, 1694 nt
Organism: Balaenoptera acutorostrata (minke whale)
Lineage: Eukaryota; Metazoa; Chordata; Mammalia; Artiodactyla; Balaenopteridae
Exons: 5
Source: RefSeq, a predicted model, not a curated record
UUAUUUAUUUAUUUUUGGCUGCCUUGGGUCUUCGUUGUUGGGUCUUCUUUGCGGUGCGUGGGCUUCUCACUGCUGUGGCUUCUCUUGUUGCGGAGCACGGGCUCUAGGCGCUCGGGCUUCAGUAGUUGUGGCUCGUGGGCUCAGUAGUUGUGGCUUGCGGACUCUAGAGCGCAGGCUCAGUAGCUGUGGCGCACGGGCUUAGUUGCUUCGCGGCAUGUGGGAUCUUCCCGGACCAGGGCUCGAACCCGUGUCCCCUGCAUUGGCAGGCGGAUUCUUAACCGCUGCGCCACCAGGGAAGCCCCUAAACUGCUUAUUUCAAUAGAUAAAAUGAAAAUGUAGUCAGAGAGAAUUUGUGGUAGAACCUGAGCAUGCCGAGUUGCCAGGAAUUUGCAAAAGCCUUUAAUAUACAAUAAUUUCCGUUGCGAUAGAAAAACUUUAUACAGUUACUGAUAUACCAACUUAUGUUAGCCAGGGGGAAAAAGUUUACACACCUGGUUGAAUGUGUUUACCAAUUAUAUUUAUUCAGUUUCCUGUUACAAAACCAGAACAUGGCCUGGAAAAUCCUAAUUGUUUGCCUGUGACAUUAUUUCCAUGAGGAGUAAUCAUCCCAGAAACUAUUAGAGGGCCUUGGAAUAUAUUCAUCUGACCUAUUCUACCUAUCCCAUUUAAAGGACAGCAUCUGAAGAUUUAAUAACAAAAAGCAGUUGAAGCAUUCCAAGCUGGAUAAUCAGGUUGAUUUUGAUGAUGAAAAUCGUCCAACUUUUGCUAAUCAAGUUAGGGGCAUAUAUAAUGUCUUCACAAUUAUUGCAUUUCCAGAUUAAUGGACAGCAGAUUUCCAGUUUUUUAAUUAUGAUGUGCUGACACCUGGGAAAGACACUGUACGACAACGCAAGUGGCCCUUUCUUUUUUCUUUCAAAGCUACUCAAGGAACGUACAGAAGGCCCCAGCCAAUUAAACUUCCUUCCUAAGGGUGUGACUGUGACUGCCGUAGUGUGGUUAUACUGCCACUAAUCCCAGGAUGGCAUCGCUUCAGAGGCCAACUGGAUAAACCAAGAGGCUGGAACCCUUAGACCCUCCCUCCUGCAACACACAGCCUCCCUUCCCUUCUGCCCAUGUUUACGUCACCCUGAGGGGCGUGUCCUGACGGAGGCGGCAGCGCCAAACAGGCCGCGUGGUUAACCUAGAGAGCGCAACAGGUAAUCCUCUGGUUAUCAGUGACGGCACUCUUCUCCAGAGCGUCCUGCACACUGCCGACAUCCGCCUCGCAGGAUGCACUGAAAGCUGCAAGUGCAGCUCAACAGAGAGGAAUAACCUUUUCCAGAAAUGCUUUAUUGCUACAAGUUGUGAGGUCUCCAACCAUCAAAAUUGGAACAAAACUUAAGGUUUCAGCCCCCCCCACGGGGCAGCACAGACACUUCAUGGGGCUGUUUUUAAUGCAGGUUUGACAGUGGACCCAGCAAAGUUCAGAUGACAGCAGAAUGGUAUAAAGAAACCUUGCCUGUAAUCGAAAGAGGUGGAGCACGAGCUAGAAGAGGAAGACUACCUUCCAUCUGAAAGAUCAGUCUUCCUUUGAAUUCUCUCGGUUAAGAGUAACGUCAAAAUUUAAGGCUGGUAGUUACUAAGACAAGGAUAUACGUUACCUGGUAAGAAAAUCCAACACUUCACUUUUAAACUUUUUCCAAACAGAUGCUACA